Puntigrus tetrazona (Sumatra barb) is the source of this 754-nucleotide RNA transcript. It is a transcript of the gene named protein TANC2-like, with no coding region annotated. The transcript has 3 exons. The record is from RefSeq and is a predicted model, not a curated record. NCBI's taxonomy places the organism in Eukaryota, Metazoa, Chordata, Actinopteri, Cypriniformes, Cyprinidae.
UGCACCAUUCAUGGACCGUAGCUGUAGCCUCUCUCUUUCUCUCUUUCUCUCUCUCUCUCGCUCUCUCUCCUCGUCUCUAUCUCUCUGGAUUCUCCUCGUGGAAGGAAGACGAGCUGCCAGGCUUCCUCUGGUAAGCGACAGGGCUUUAAGGUUUACCCGAGGAAUGCUCGUUCCCUGACGCGGUUCCCGCGAGCCGCCUCCCGAUCCCCCCCCCGCUGCUCCGCCGGAGACGAGCGUGGAUGAGCUGGCCGUCGGCGAGAGGAUCGCAGGGGCUGUGUGUGUCCGUGGACGGAGAGGGAGGACAGAUCUACACCCGCCUGCCAGCCCAAUGCGGGGUUUGGGUUGAGCAUGGUGAGCGCCGAACCCCACCCUCCACACAUCUCCUUACCUAACCUCGCACGCACGCACCUGAGCCGCUGAAGGAAUGGAUGGGUGCCGCGGGAGUAUGGGGGGUUAGGUCCGGAUCUCGGCCCCCCUCCUUCAGUGGACGAGGCAGCCAACACGUUGAUGACUCGUCUUGGCUUCUUACUCGGAGAAAAAGCGAGCGAGGGCUCUCCAGGGCCGCAGUACAGCAUGGAUGAGCCUGAUGACGCACAGGGUUUGUGAGUGAGUGGGAGGAUGAGUCAGUGCUCCACCCUGACCAGCAGCACCGCCUCGCCCCCCGCCUGCAGCCCCUGCUCCACCCUCCCUCCUGCUGCUCCGGGACAGGCCUUCUCCAGCCCCACAUCCACCCUGGAGAGCCGAGACAGCGGCA